UGAUGGGAAGUAUCGAUUAUAUGC
RNAcentral lists this non-coding RNA (24 nucleotides) under Arabidopsis thaliana (thale cress). Lineage: Eukaryota; Viridiplantae; Streptophyta; Magnoliopsida; Brassicales; Brassicaceae. The record is from RNAcentral.